This 1570-nucleotide long non-coding RNA is filed under the name Homo sapiens (human). RNAcentral describes it as "non-protein coding lnc-MED9-4:1". Lineage: Eukaryota; Metazoa; Chordata; Mammalia; Primates; Hominidae. The record is from RNAcentral.
CAGGCCUCCGGGCCGCGAAGUCGCAGCGCCAGACCCAAGGCCCCCGAGUGAGCGCGGGCGCCGAGGCAAGCCGGUAUAUUCGGGGCCCAGGAGCAAGGAAAAGUGGCCUUUUGCGUGACACAGAAGUGGACACAUCAUUCUGAUCUCAGGGCAGGCUCAGCCCCAUAACUCUGGCAAAAGCUCUCACAAGCAAAAGCCUUGGAGAGGAGGAGAAUGUAUCAAGGUGAGAUCCAGGCCCCAGAAGCCAACUGUGGAGUGGGCAAAAUAGGACCUUUCCCACCAGCCUAGCAUCCCUCUGGCUUCUGUGGAGAUAAAGGGAACUCAGGGGUACUGGAGCUGCCUUUCUCUUCCACUAGACUGUGGGGCUCUCAUAGGCAGGGACCCUGUCUUACUCCUCUUUGUUUUAUUUUUGAGACAGGGUCUUGCUGUGUGGCCCAGGCUGGAGUGCCUUGGCACAAACACAGCUCACUUCAGCCUCAACCUCCAGGGCUCAAGCGAUCCUCCAGCAUCAGUCUCCUGAGUAGCUGGGAUCACAGGCGCCCGACACCACACGUAGCUAAUUUUAAAUUUUUUUUUUUUUCUAGAGACAGGGGUCUUGCCAUGGCUGGUCUUGAAGUCCUGGGCUCAAGCGAUCCUCCCUCUUUGGCCUCCCAAAGUGCUGGGAUUACAGGAGUGAGUCACUGCACCCAGCCUUACUCCUCUUUAGACUCCCAAGCCUAGACCAAUUGCUUUCAAAUUCUUGCCCGUGACCUAUAGUAAGAAAUACAUCGUAGGUAACUACACAGGUCACACUGUAUAUAGCUGAAACAAAAGUUUACUGAAAUAACUCCCUUACUGUGUCUGCUGGUCUGUAAUCCUUUUUGUUCUUGUGUAUUUGUUUUUUUUUUAAUUACUGAUUGCUACCCACGAAAUUAAUUUUGCAAUCCACUGAUGGGUCAUACCCAGAAUUUGAAAAAAACAAGCCUAGGAAAUGAAUUUGCCAUCUAUUCAUGCAACAAAUGUUAAUUGCAACCCUAAUAAUUCCUCUCAUGUUAAACUACUCAAGUAACACUUGGAUACUUGGGUGAAAAAUGCAAAUAAGCCAGAAAUAUAUGUAGUAAAAGUAAAAGUUCCCUUGGCACCCUCCCUGCAGGUAACCCCAGUUAAUAGUUUGAACGUAUCCUUCCAGACUUUUUGUUACUCACUUAAUGCAUAUAUAUAUAUAUAUAUAUAUAUAUAUAUAUAUAUGUAUGUAUGUAUGUAUAUUACAUAUACCAAUCCAUGCAUAGUUUUCUUUUUCCCCAAGUGAGGACAUACUGUGGGCUCUUCCUCGGCAGCUUCCUUUUUCCUCUCCGUUUGUCUUGGAGAGGUUGGUUGUGUGGCGAAGUCCUUCAGGGCAAGUUCUGGGUUGACUCCUGGCUCCACCACAUACUGAACAGGCCAUUUACCUCUCUGUGCCUCAGUGUCCCCAUCUUUACAAUCAGGAGAAUAACAGUACAGACCUCACGGUACUGAAGUAAAGAUGCAGUGAGUUAAUCCAUAUGAAGUUUAGAGCAGUGCUUUUGCCAAUAAAUGCUGAUUGCUGCCGUCA